This 265-nucleotide ribosomal RNA is filed under the name uncultured prokaryote. RNAcentral describes it as "partial 16S ribosomal RNA". It matches the Rfam family "Bacterial small subunit ribosomal RNA", at positions 526 to 788 of the family's 1533-position model. The record is from RNAcentral.
CGUAGGGUGCGAGCGUUGUCCGGAUUUAUUGGGCGUAAAGAGCUUGUAGGCGGUUUGUCGCGUCGGGAGUGAAAACUCAGUGCUUAACACUGAGCCUGCUUCCGGAUACGGGCAGACUUGAGGAAGGUAGGGGAGAUUGGAAUUCCUGGUGAAGCGGUGGAAUGCGUAGAUAUCAGGAGGAACACCAGUGGCGAAGGCGGAUCUCUGGACCUUUCCUGACGCUGAGAAGCGAAAGCGUGGGGAGGCAAACAGGCUUAGAUACCCU